Labeo rohita (rohu) is the source of this 696-nucleotide long non-coding RNA. RefSeq lists it as uncharacterized. Lineage: Eukaryota; Metazoa; Chordata; Actinopteri; Cypriniformes; Cyprinidae. The transcript has 2 exons. The record is from RefSeq and is a predicted model, not a curated record.
GGUAAUAUCCGUGUCUUGUAAAUGGUGAACUUGAGCACACGUCUGAGCGUAGAUCACAUGAAUGUGGUGGUUGUGUAACUCGUGAAAGACGUCCAUUCUUGUGCGUCUGUCUCCAGCUGUCCUGAGCGCUGCUAGAGCUGUGACUGACUGCUGGAAACUCAACUUCAUCAGCUUCAUCAGGGUCUUUGGCGUCUGUCAGCAGGAACUCCAGGAAACAUUAACGGAGCUUUCAAGAAGAAUUUAUUACGCAACUCAACAGUCACUCCCACAGCAGAGGAUGUCGUGUGGAGCGUGUUUCUGGGGCAUCGUCUGGCUGCUGGUGCUGCUGAUUAUCGGCUGGCCCUUGAGCAUUAUGCUGGGGGGUCUGUACGGCCUCAUCGCCCCUCUCACCGUCUGCCUCGGUCUGGACAGACUGGCCGACCUGCUGAUGGAAGGGGCAAAUCUGGGCCGGAAGUGUGCCCACAACAUGAGGCACGGCAAAGCGCUGUGCUGAGACCACGAGCCCUUCAGCUCACUGCCAAGAAGUCCUCAAAAUUUUCAUCUCUUUUCACUUUUUUGACAGUUUAUAGUGCCUUUGAUUCUCUGUGACUAGAACAUGAUGCUUCCCUAAAGCCUUAGUGACACUUUCUUGCUUCCUCUCUGUAUCUGUUGCUCUUAGGCUGUUUGAAUAUGAAAAAUUAAAAUAUUCUUUCAGUA